UACGUAGGUCCCGAGCGUUAUCCGGAUUUAUUGGGUUUAAAGGGUGCGUAGGCGGACUGUCAAGUCAGCGGUAAAAUUGAGAGGCUCAACCUCUUCCCGCCGUUGAAACUGGUGGUCUUGAGUGGAUGAAAAGUACGCGGAAUGCGUGGUGUAGCGGUGAAAUGCAUAGAUAUCACGCAGAACUCCGAUUGCGAAGGCAGCGUACCGGCAUCCAACUGACGCUGAGGCACGAAAGCGUGGGGAUCAAACAGG
RNAcentral lists this ribosomal RNA (252 nucleotides) under uncultured bacterium. RNAcentral's name for it is "partial 16S ribosomal RNA". It matches the Rfam family "Bacterial small subunit ribosomal RNA", at positions 524 to 776 of the family's 1533-position model. The record is from RNAcentral.